AGAGUUUGAUCCUGGCUCAGGACGAACGCUGGCGGCAGGCUUAACACAUGCAAGUCGAACGAACUCUUCGGAGUGAGUGGCAGGCGGGUGCGUAACACGUGGGAACCUACCUUAAGGUACGGAACAACACCGAGAAAUUGGUGCUAAUACCGUAUGUGCCCUUCGGGGGAAAGAUUUAUCGCCUUAAGAUGGGCCCGCGGCAGAUUAGAUAGUUGGUGGGGUAAUGGCCUACCAAGUCGACGAUCUGUAGCUGGUCUGAGAGGAUGAUCAGCCACACUGGAACUGAGACACGGUCCAGACUCCUACGGGAGGCAGCAGUGGGGAAUAUUGGGCAAUGGGCGAAAGCCUGACCCAGCCAUGCCGCGUGAGUGAUGAAGGCCUUAGGGUUGUAAAACUCUUUCGCUAGUGAAGAUAAUGACGGUAACUAGUAAAGAAGCCCCGGCUAAUUUCGUGCCAGCAGCCGCGGUAAUACGAAAGGGGCUAGCGUUGUUCGGAAUUACUGGGCGUAAAGCGCGCGUAGGCGGACUAUCAAGUUGGGGGUGAAAUCCCGGGGCUCAACCUCGGAACUGCCUCCAAAACUGUUAGUCUAGAGGAUGUGAGAGGAUAGUGGAAUUCCGAGUGUAGAGGUGAAAUUCGUAGAUAUUCGGAAGAACACCAGUGGCGAAGGCGACUGUCUGGCACAUUUCUGACGCUGAGGUGCGAAAGCGUGGGGAGCGAACAGGAUUAGAUACCCUGGUAGUCCACGCCGUAAACGAUGAGGGCCAGUUGUCGGGCAGCAUGCUGUUCGGUGACGCAGUUAACGCAUUAAGCCCUCCGCCUGGGGAGUACGGUCGCAAGAUUAAAAACUCAAAGGAAUUGACGGGGGCCCGCACAAGCGGUGGAGCAUGUGGUUUAAUUCGAAGGAACGCGCAGAACCUUACCAGCUCUUGACAUCCCGAUCGCGGUUUCCAGAGAUGGAUUCCUUCAUUUAGUUGGAUCAGUGACAGGUGUUGCAUGGCUGUCGUCAGCUCGUGUCGUGAGAUGUUGGGUUAAGUCCCGCAACGAGCGCAACCCUCGCUGCCAGUUGCCAGCAUUUAGUUGGGCACUCUGGCGGGACCGCCGGUGAUAAGCCGGAGGAAGGUGGGGACGACGUCAAAUCAUCAUGGCCCUUACGGGUUGGGCUACACACGUGCUACAAUGGCGACCAUAAUGGGUUAAUCCCCAAAAGUCGUCUCAGUUCGGAUUGUCCUCUGCAACUCGAGGACAUGAAGUCGGAAUCGCUAGUAAUCGUGGAUCAGCAUGCCACGGUGAAUACGUUCCCGGGCCUUGUACACACCGCCCGUCACACCAUGGGAGUUGGUUCUACCCGACGACGCUGCGCUAACUUCGGAGGCAGGCGGCCACGGUAGGAUCAGCGACUGGGGUGAAGUCGUAACAAGGUAGCCGUA
Molecule: ribosomal RNA, 1427 nt
Filed under: uncultured prokaryote
Description: partial 16S ribosomal RNA
Rfam family: Bacterial small subunit ribosomal RNA
Source: RNAcentral